Molecule: long non-coding RNA, 3392 nt
Organism: Xenopus tropicalis (tropical clawed frog)
Lineage: Eukaryota; Metazoa; Chordata; Amphibia; Anura; Pipidae
Exons: 2
Source: RefSeq, a predicted model, not a curated record
AUAUUUUUAUAAUUUGGUACUAAAUUCUAGCGCAUAUUAAGCUUUCUCUAACUCUUCUUCCAAGCUUUUCUCAACUCUGGAUGUCUCCUUUUCACAUCACUCCAGAUCCUUUGCAGGAAUGGGAGCUUGAUCUCAUGAAUGAAGUUUGUUCUAAUCUCUUUACCUGUCUCCUCGAUCCUUCUUUUUACCUGCUGUACCCCUUGUGUAGACCAGGAAUAAGGUAUUACUCCUUUUUCAAUACUGGCCUGAAUACGAUUAAAUAUAGUCCUUUGAUGACUUGCUGGUAGUAGUUGUAAAGACAAUAAUACUAGCACUAAGGCCUAUCCAGAAUGGGGGAAACCCUAGAGGCAUUUAUUUUAAAGCCAUGGUUAAAGAUAGUAGAAGUAGCCAAUAAAGGGACGUAUUAGUACCUCAAAGACUUUUUCAAGUUUGGCAUUUAGAGUACUUCUGGAAGUAUGAAAGGACUUCUAACUUAACCAUGAUGGUUAUAUUGUUGAACUCUUGGAAGAUGGCCAGGGCAUUACAUAGAUUAAAAGGCAAACUUAAAAUUCAUAAUGGACAUUCUUUGUUUAAAGUCUUCUAUUCACAUUAACCUCCUACUUAUUCCUCUUCUGUUCAUCACCCUAACCCUUAUGUCCAGCUUGGUAAAGUUUUUUUCCUUUUAGCUGUCCUAAAGUUAAAUGCAAAGUACAAUAGUUUUUGAUGGGGUAGUCAUAAGGGCAGAUGUUUUAAAAAGGACCCCAACAAAGUCAGUGAAUGGAUGUUUAUUGUCUAGUACAGUGGACACCACAACCAAAUGUUGAUCUAGUGGCCUUCUAGAAACUUUCUUCUAUUCAUCACCCUCACCCUUAUUGCACCCUUAAGCAUUUAUAAAAAUUGAAAUCUCUAAAAACUAUUUAUAUGUGUUUGACAGAUUCAGACAUAUUCUGUUCUAUGCAUCAAUGAAUACUUUUUUUAUCAAUAAUUAUUUAUCUGAAACAUUUGUAAUAGCAUAUCUAUAUGGGACUCUAGGAGCAGCCCCCUCUUUCUUCUUCAGCCAUGUUUAAUCUAUUUUCCAAAUAUGCUUGCCCUCUUGCUGCUUUUGCUAAUGCCAGAGUUUUUGGUGUAUGUAAAUGAUGGUUGGAUUACAAACUGUAAAAAGUGUUUGCAGUUUUUAUUUUCAAAGAGACUUUCAUUUCCAAUAUCAUAAUGUCUUUCUGCCAUAAAUUGUAUAUAAUUUCUGAGCAGCUCCUUUUACAGUAUGAUAGGCCAGCAUUAGUGAAGAAAUGUAAAGGCCCCCCAUGGCCAUGCCUGUCUCUAAUGCCCUCAGCCCUGCUCUCGCUAUUCCUCUGGUUUAUCUCCUGCCUAUGCCACUGCCCCUGAUCUUUUGCUCCCGCCACAUACUCACCAGGAACCACCGGCUGGUCCUGGCUCAUAGUGCUGGCUGUUGAUCCUGAAUCUGCUGGCCUCUGUUGCUGGACUACUGAUGAAACAGUGUUCCUAGUCCGGCUCCCUCAGCUUCCUGGGCUGUCGUGGAGUUACUGGUCCUGCACCACUGUUGCUGGGUCCCUCACCUGGGUUACUAUCCUGCUCUGUGGCUGAGGCUGCACUUUCCUCGCAGUCUGACUGUUCCUGCUCCUGUGGCCUCUGUGCUUCAUGUCGAGGGGUUAUGCCCUGAGCGGGGGGUCAGCCCCCCUUCAGGCUUCUCCUGGUCUCCUCCAUUGGCCUGGUCUGCCUUGUGCUGCGCCAGCCGCCUUCUGUGUGUUGAGUGCACUCAGCUGCUCGCCCCCCCACUCCUCACAGUGUUCUCUCCUUAGCCAGCUCAUCAGGUCCCGCAGCUCAGCUGCCAUGAUGCGCACAACACUGCUCCAAGAUGGCGCCGCUUCUCCCCUACGCUGCCCCUGUGUUUCCUCUCCCUACCUCUGAUGUCAUUUCCUGUCUCCUCCUAACCCUGUCACUACCCUCCUCCCUUCAUUACGGGCCGUCAGGAGUCCUUAUUAGCCACAUUUGUGAUGUCUUUUGGGUGCACCUAUUCCUUUUAUUUACCUCCUUUUUCUCUUAAUUAGGGGCAUCAACAAAGUCUUCCCUUGGGAGCAGAAGUACAUUUUUACAAACUCCCCUUUCCAUAUUUGUUUCUUAGCCUUUCCUUUUACUUGAAGCACUAAUGACCCUGAACUGCCAAAAUAACUCCAUUCAGGGCCAUGUCUGCUAUUUGAACCUCCCCAGAGCCCUUUGCAUUUGUGAAUGCCACUCUUUUAAUCUAGCUGCCUCUGCCAGGUCAUUGUACCUUAGACCAUGCCGUCCUCCACUGAAAGCUGGGUAGAAGGUUCCCCAUUUUAAGGAAAUGCCUGGGCACUGGCUGAGUCGCUUUCCGCUCUUUUAGAGCCUUACUGAUGGCUGACCUGUGGUUGCCAAUCCGUUCCCUGAGGAUUGUAAUUGUCUUGCCCACAUAAUAUAUUCCACAUGGACAUACAAUGAUAUAAACCACAAAAGAUUAAGUGCAUGUAAGCCUUUGUCGAAUUUUGUAUCUUUUGCCCGUAUAUGGAUGGGGAAAGUCAAUACCAGUCAGCAUACAUCGGCAUGUUACACAUCCAGGACAUUUAAAACAUCCUGGCCUUAAUUGUGUUUGAUGAAGAGAAAGAGAUUCGUCCAUAUUUACCAUAGACCAAUUAUUUUUUAUGAUUGAUGACUUUAUUGGCCGCUUAACUGUAUGUAGUGGUAAAUACUAGAGGAGGUUCUUUGGAGGUUACUGCAGGACGAGAUUGCAAUAAAUCUUCCUGUCUGUAUCCAAGAGCUUUGGUAAGUUGAUCAAAUAGUGUCUGUUUGUUGUAUCCCCUGAGUAGGAAUCUAUCAAAGGCUUCCUGUAGUUUGUCUUGUGCGGUCAUAGGGUCACUAUUAUUCCUGAUGAUACGUAAGAUCUGAGAUUAGGGGAUCCCCCUGAUGGUGGCUGGUGGGUGAAAACUGGCUGCAUGUAAAAUCGUGUUUCUGUCUGUAGGAUUGGGAAAUAAACGUGUGCCCAGUUUGUCUCCUGCUCUGAAAAUAUGGAGAUCAAGAAAGUCAGACAUCUGGGUCGGAUGUCAUGGUUGGAUAUCAAUAUAAUGUCAUUUUGAACAAUCUAUAUCCUUAAAGAGAGAAGAGAGAAAAGAGAGAAGAAGGAAGAGAGAAGUGGUCCCAUUCUUGAUAAAUAGUGGGGCCAAAGGGUGAAUAAGAAAGACAUAACAAGAAAAUAAAAAUAAGAGAAAAAAAAAAAAAAAAUUAAACUUGACGGUUUCUUUAUAUUCAAAAUUGGUCAUUUGAACUUAAUAGUAUGGUGUAGCCUUUGAGGUCCCAUAUUAAAAAUAAAACUCAAUAAGGUCAGCAUCUGUGGGAGGACCGUUUGUAUUCAGCCCCAAUAAAGUUUACCUUGAUUCUUA